Molecule: long non-coding RNA, 677 nt
Organism: Gallus gallus (chicken)
Lineage: Eukaryota; Metazoa; Chordata; Aves; Galliformes; Phasianidae
Source: Ensembl
AUUUGAAUAAAUAAAUACAUAAAUAAAUACUUAACACAUUUUCUCUGUGAUAUUCCACUUCUGCUUUCUCUGGACAAUUCAUCAGAUUCAAUCUAAAAAGUGGAGGGGGAAAAUACAACACUGCAACAGCUCUGCUGUUCCUUUGCUACUGAUUGCUCUCUGUUCAGGCACAGUACAAGACUCGAGCAUCAGAGAGAAAAGAGCUGAAUUAAGGAACGAGCUACUCUGGCAUCUGCUCCUGCUGCCCAACUGUAUGGCAGGGCAAAAGUCCUGCUAUAGCACUUCUGGCUGCUCGAGGCAGUUCCAGGAGUUGGACUCUACAAUCUUUUUGGGUCUCUUACAACACAGCAUAUUCAAUGCUCCUAUGAUUCUAAGAACCGUGCCUGGACAGCAAGAGGGUCUGCAUAAGCCACUGAGGCAGCAAGAGGCAGAGCAUGCCUUUUCACGCUCCUACAGUCUCACUGUGAAGAAGAAUCUGAAGCAAAAUGCCUUCCAAAGAAUUGUUCAGGGCACUGUGUAGAUUACCAGCAGAAGGACAGACCUACUGGGGAAUCUGGGAAUCAAUCAGCUUUGGUUUUCAUGCCAGCAUGUGACAUAUUAUUUAGUAUAAUUUCUUGGGCUGAAGACCAGAGAUACCUUUAUUAAACCAACCUUGUGAACUUUCCUGAGAAUGCUGA